This 599-nucleotide ribosomal RNA is filed under the name Maribacter aquivivus. RNAcentral's name for it is "bacterial SSU rRNA". It matches the Rfam family "Bacterial small subunit ribosomal RNA", at positions 97 to 731 of the family's 1533-position model. Lineage: Bacteria; Pseudomonadati; Bacteroidota; Flavobacteriia; Flavobacteriales; Flavobacteriaceae. The record is from RNAcentral.
GGCGGACGGGUUAGUAACGCGUGGGAACGUACCUUUUGCUUCGGAAUAGCCUCGGGAAACUGGGAGUAAUACCGAAUGUGCCCUUUGGGGGAAAGAUUUAUCGGCAAAAGAUCGGCCCGCGUCUGAUUAGAUAGUUGGUGGGGUAAUGGCCUACCAAGUCUGCGAUCAGUAGCUGGUUUGAGAGGAUGAUCAGCAACACUGGGACUGAGACACGGCCCAGACUCCUACGGGAGGCAGCAGUGGGGAAUCUUAGACAAUGGGCGCAAGCCUGAUCUAGCGAUGCCGCGUGAGUGACGAAGGCCUUAGGGUCGUAAAGCUCUUUCGCCAGGGAUGAUAAUGACAGUACCUGGUAAAGAAACCCCGGCUAACUCCGUGCCAGCAGCCGCGGUAAUACGGAGGGGGUUAGCGUUGUUCGGAAUUACUGGGCGUAAAGCGCACGUAGGCGGAUUAGAAAGUUGGGGGUGAAAUCCCAGGGCUCAACCCUGGAACUGCCUCCAAAACUACUAGUCUAGAGUUCGAGAGAGGUGAGUGGAAUUCCGAGUGUAGAGGUGAAAUUCGUAGAUAUUCGGAGGAACACCAGUGGCGAAGGCGGCUCACUG